Cyanistes caeruleus (blue tit) is the source of this 1211-nucleotide long non-coding RNA. RefSeq lists it as uncharacterized. The record is from RefSeq and is a predicted model, not a curated record. Lineage: Eukaryota; Metazoa; Chordata; Aves; Passeriformes; Paridae.
UCUCCCCUGUUCCCCCCACCCCAAAUGUCACUGCUGUUGCUUUGAAUCCAGCUGAGCCAUUCUGUUCGUGGGAAGAAGCACUCCAGGAGAACCUCUUGUCUCCAACCCCCUGGAAAAGACUUAUUUCACUCUUAUCUGUCGUGCAUGUGGAUGCCAGGACCUAGAAGAGGGAUGGCUUGGACUCUGUGUUCCCUUUUUGCUCCAGGAGCCUGUGCAAGGCCAUCUCCAUCACCAUCAGGUGUCAAGGCAGCUUCUUAGCAGGGAUUAGAAACUGGCUGGAGAUGAGGAAAAGGGACUUUAAUAAUCUAUGAACAGGAGAAAACAGAAGAAAAAUUUAUUAGUUGAUGCAUCAAUCAGCUUCUGCAUCUUGGGCCAAGAAUUAUCUGAGUAACUUCUGAUUAGACUCCAAGGGUGAAAUACAGCCAGAAAAAUCCAAUUCUGUGCAUAAAGCACAAAGUUCUCUCUGGUCCAGCACUGAAGUGCUCUUUCCAGCAAAAACAGCAAAGUAAAACUACUUGAAGUGUUCAUCUUUCGCCCCUGUGGAAUUUUUUCCUCGGUGAUCCAUGGUUUGGCUCGUGGCUCCUCAUUAUCCACCACACUCUUCACCUGGCACAUGCGGCCCCGUCCUCAGGGAUCCUUGGUGGAAAUCUGUUUGACAAACAAAUGAGGUGAUUCUUCCUCCUGCCCCAAUAUCCUCAGCCAAAGAAAUUUCCUGCAGUUUCAAGAGUUUAUGGCCUGAUCUAAGGAAAACACAAUGUAAUUCUUAUGGAACUUCUUAACAACAGCUGCCAGCCUUUCCUCUACUCUCAGUUCAGCCUCUUUCCCACAUGAGUGUCUGUAGACACCUUCUGAUCAGCUGUAACCUCCCAGAAGCUUUAUUUGUUCUGAAAAUGAGUCAAUGGGAGGUCUGGAGUUCAGGAAGGAGGUACAGAAAGGCUGAUGGUGACUUUGCUUGGAGGCACCUCCUCUUAAUUUCAUCUCCUUUCCAUGGGAGCAGAGCAGGACAGGCUUUGCUGGCCAGAGGACAGCACCAGUUUUUGGGCAUCAGUGAAUGGCCUGGUGGAUCUGCCUGGAUGGUAAAGUGUUUGUCUUGCCCCUCACCAGGACAUCAGCUCUGUGUGAAAGCCUGGAGAAGAGAAGGCUUUUGGGUUUUCCAGUUCCUGAAGGGAAACCACAAGAAAAAUGGAGAGAAACCAUUUACAAGGGAUGGA